Molecule: ribosomal RNA, 471 nt
Filed under: uncultured beta proteobacterium
Lineage: Bacteria; Pseudomonadati; Pseudomonadota; Betaproteobacteria
Description: bacterial SSU rRNA
Rfam family: Bacterial small subunit ribosomal RNA
Source: RNAcentral
GGAGAAAAGCAGGGGAUCGCAAGACCUUGCGCUCAUUGAGCGGCCGAUGCCUGAUUAGCUAGUUGGUGAGGUAAAGGCUUACCAAGGCGACGAUCAGUAGCUGGUCUGAGAGGACGACCAGCCACACUGGGACUGAGACACGGCCCAGACUCCUACGGGAGGCAGCAGUGGGGAAUUUUGGACAAUGGGGGAAACCCUGAUCCAGCCAUGCCGCGUGAGUGAAGAAGGCCUUCGGGUCGUAAAGCUCUUUCAGCCGGAACGAAACGGUCACGGCUAAUACCUGUGACUACUGACGGUACCGGAAGAAGAAGCACCGGCUAACUACGUGCCAGCAGCCGCGGUAAUACGUAGGGUGCGAGCGUUAAUCGGAAUUACUGGGCGUAAAGCGUGCGCAGGCGGUUUUGUAAGUCAGAAGAGAAAUCCCCGGGCUUAACCUGGGAACUGCGUUUGAAAUAGAGAGGCUAGAAGGGC